RNAcentral lists this ribosomal RNA (428 nucleotides) under uncultured Lachnospiraceae bacterium. RNAcentral's name for it is "bacterial SSU rRNA". It matches the Rfam family "Bacterial small subunit ribosomal RNA", at positions 355 to 794 of the family's 1533-position model. Lineage: Bacteria; Bacillati; Bacillota; Clostridia; Lachnospirales; Lachnospiraceae. The record is from RNAcentral.
UGGGGAAUAUUGGGGCAAUGGGGGGCGCAAGCCUGACCCAGCAACGCCGCGUGAAGGAAGAAGGCUUUCGGGUUGUAAGCUUCUUUUGUCGGGGACGAGUAGAAGACGGUACCUGGCGAAUAAGCCACGGCUAACUACGUGCCAGCAGCCGCGGUAAUACGUAGGGGGCAAGCGUUAUCCGGAUUUACUGGGUGUAAAGGGAGCGUAGACGGCAUGACAAGCCAGAUGUGAAAACCCAGGGCUCAACCCUGGGACUGCAUUUGGAACUGCCAGGCUGGAGUGCAGGAGAGGUAAGCGGAAUUCCUAGUGUAGCGGUGAAAUGCGUAGAUAUUAGGAGGAACACCAGUGGCGAAGGCGGCUUACUGGACUGUAACUGACGUUGAGGCUCGAAAGCGUGGGGAGCAAACAGGAUUAGAUACCCUGGUAGU